UGAGCUCAAAUUUGAAAGCUGGCGUCUUCGGCGUCCGCGUUGUAAUCUCGAGACGUGUUUUCCGUGCGGCUCUAUGGACAAGUCCCUUGGAACAGGGCAUCGUAGAGGGUGAAAAUCCCGUACUUGCCAUGGAAGUACCGUGCUUUGUGAUACACGCUCCAAGAGUCGAGUAGUUUGGGAUUGCUGCUCAAAGUGGGUGGUAGACUCCAUCUAAAGCUAAAUAUCGGGGAGAGACCGAUAGCGAACAAGUACCGUGAGGGAAAGAUGAAAAGCACUUUGGAAAGAGAGUUAAAAGUACGUGAAAUUGUCGAAAGGGAAGCACUUGAAGUCAGCCAUGCUGCUUGAGACUCAGCCUGGCUUUUGCUUGGUGUAUUUCUCGGUAGCAAGCCAGCAUUGGUUUGUGUCGUCGGAGAAGCGUAUGGGGAAUGUGGCAUCCUCGGAUGUGUUAUAGCCCUGUGCAGGAUACGACGACGUAGACCAAGGAACGCAGUGUGCCCUCUGGGCGGGUCUUCG
Molecule: ribosomal RNA, 513 nt
Filed under: Malassezia restricta
Lineage: Eukaryota; Fungi; Basidiomycota; Malasseziomycetes; Malasseziales; Malasseziaceae
Description: partial large subunit ribosomal RNA
Rfam family: Eukaryotic large subunit ribosomal RNA
Source: RNAcentral